Molecule: unclassified non-coding RNA, 142 nt
Filed under: uncultured Ascomycota
Lineage: Eukaryota; Fungi; Ascomycota
Description: sequence contains ITS1
Source: RNAcentral
ACGAGCAAGGGCGGAAACGCCCGACCUCCAACCCUUUGUGUGCGAAACCCAGUUGCCUCGGGGCCCCCGUCCGCGGGUGCCCCGGCAGGCCCACCAAAAACACUGCAUCUUUGCGUCAGAGUACAUUCUUUGAAUAUAAUCA